UCUCUGUGCAGGAGCUCUUAAUAGAAGAGACUAAAGAAAAGCCAGAAAGUACUGCUGCUUUCUGUCAGGAACGGUUUAAAAACAACUGGCCAUCUGACAGAAGAAGCCGCUGUGAGGAAAGAGACUUUUAAAAUGACAGAAACAUGUUAAUCAAGUUGGACUGAACAUGAAGACUCUGUUCUGACCAUUAAAAUUUUUGGCCUGCGAUUGUUUGAGAUGUUCACAUACUCAGGAUGCAUUUUCCCAGUAGAGAAAAGGCCAGGACAAGAACAUUAGACCGUCUCCAAAGUCAAAGGCUACACGUGAGCUAAAGAGAAUCGCCUUGUAUGUCCUUGGAAUCCCAGAUAGCCCUAGCCUCAAAGACAGAAAAAG
Gopherus flavomarginatus (Mexican gopher tortoise) is the source of this 372-nucleotide long non-coding RNA. RefSeq lists it as uncharacterized. The record is from RefSeq and is a predicted model, not a curated record. The transcript is spliced from 3 exons. Lineage: Eukaryota; Metazoa; Chordata; Testudines; Testudinidae.